UAAUACGAAGGGGGCUAGCGUUGCUCGGAAUUACUGGGCGUAAAGGGCGCGUAGGCGGCUUGGCCAGUCAGGCGUGAAAUUCCUGGGCUUAACCUGGGGACUGCGCUUGAUACUGCCAGGCUUGAGGCCGAGAGAGGGUGGUGGAAUUCCCAGUGUAGAGGUGAAAUUCGUAGAUAUUGGGAAGAACACCGGUGGCGAAGGCGACCACCUGGCUCGGUACUGACGCUGAGGCGCGACAGCGUGGGGAGCAAACAGGAUUAGAUACCCUGGUAGUCCACGCCGUAAACGAUGUGUGCUGGAUGUUGGGGCUCCUAGAGUCUCAGUGUCGUAGCUAACGCGGUAAGCACACCGCCUGGGGAGUACGGCCGCAAGGUUGAAACUUAAAUGAAUUGACGG
RNAcentral lists this ribosomal RNA (396 nucleotides) under uncultured bacterium. RNAcentral's name for it is "bacterial SSU rRNA". It matches the Rfam family "Bacterial small subunit ribosomal RNA", at positions 521 to 916 of the family's 1533-position model. The record is from RNAcentral.